This 71-nucleotide transfer RNA is filed under the name Allobates grillisimilis. RNAcentral describes it as "tRNA-Val". It matches the Rfam family "tRNA". From Rfam's summary of the family: Transfer RNA (tRNA) molecules are approximately 80 nucleotides in length. Their secondary structure includes four short double-helical elements and three loops (D, anti-codon, and T loops). The record is from RNAcentral. Lineage: Eukaryota; Metazoa; Chordata; Amphibia; Anura; Aromobatidae.
CAAAGUAUAGCUUAACUUUAAAGCAUCUCGCUUACACCGAGGCUAUGUUUGUGAAAAUCAACCUACUUUGA